This 367-nucleotide ribosomal RNA is filed under the name Cryptocercus changbaiensis. RNAcentral describes it as "partial 16S large subunit ribosomal RNA". Lineage: Eukaryota; Metazoa; Arthropoda; Insecta; Blattodea; Cryptocercidae. The record is from RNAcentral.
CUCUUCUUGAAUAUAUUAUGAUGUAUGGCCUGCCCACUGAGUGUUGAAGGGCCGCGGUAUUUUGACCGUGCAAAGGUAGCAUAAUCAUUAGUCUUUUAAUUGUAGGCUGGAAUGAAUGGUUUGACGAGGUGUAAACUGUCUUUAAUUUAUUUGUUGAAUUUAAAUUUUAGGUUAAAAUGCCUAAAUUUUUUUUUGGGACGAGAAGACCCUAUAGAGUUUUAUAUGUUUUUAUUUUUUUGUGUGAUAAUUUUAAAUUUAAGAAUUUAUUUUGUUGGGGUGAUGGAAAGAUUUAAUUAACUCUUUUUAUUUUUUUAUAUUUAUUUAUAUGUAUUUGAUCCAUUUUUGUUGAUUAUAAGGCUAAAUUACC